This 73-nucleotide transfer RNA is filed under the name Lentimicrobiaceae bacterium. Its description in RNAcentral is "tRNA-Gln". It matches the Rfam family "tRNA". From Rfam's summary of the family: Transfer RNA (tRNA) molecules are approximately 80 nucleotides in length. RNAcentral also lists the same sequence under 6 other names. Lineage: Bacteria; Pseudomonadati; Bacteroidota; Bacteroidia; Bacteroidales; Lentimicrobiaceae. The record is from RNAcentral.
UGCCCAAUGGUGUAAUUGGCAACACGACUGACUCUGGAUCAGUAAAGUCCAGGUUCGAACCCUGGUUGGGCAA